RNAcentral lists this ribosomal RNA (90 nucleotides) under Hymenobacter latericoloratus. Its description in RNAcentral is "partial 16S ribosomal RNA". It matches the Rfam family "Bacterial small subunit ribosomal RNA", at positions 1 to 97 of the family's 1533-position model. Lineage: Bacteria; Pseudomonadati; Bacteroidota; Cytophagia; Cytophagales; Hymenobacteraceae. The record is from RNAcentral. RNAcentral also lists the same sequence under 1 other name.
ACAAUGGAGAGUUUGAUCCUGGCUCAGGAUGAACGCUAGCGGCAGGCCUAAUACAUGCAAGUCGAACGGGCGGUAGCAAUACCGCUAGUG